AGGAUCCAAGCCGCUGCCCUUCCCACCUCCCCCAGCUCAGAUGGGAAACUGAGGCUUGGAGAGGUUGCCAAGGUUACAGACUGGUGGUUCUUUUCCUGGCAUCAGGUAGUUUCUACUCACACAUGAGCUGAUCAGUCCUCUGCUGAAUAUUCAAGGUGAACCCUCUGCAAAUCUCUACAUUCACCUGUGCAUCUCUCUCCUCUGAUACACCUGCAAAUUCGAGCUUCCUUGGUCUCCCUGACUGUCAGCUCCAUCUUUUCAACUCAGCGAGUCCACUGGGUCCUGACUGGGUUUUCCUUCUCUCUGCUGUGUCUUGGAAACUCUUCCAAGGCAAUAAGCUGGGCAAUCACAGGGCUCAACUCAUAC
This 366-nucleotide long non-coding RNA is filed under the name Equus caballus (horse). Its description in RNAcentral is "lncRNA (ENSECAG00000048812.1)". Lineage: Eukaryota; Metazoa; Chordata; Mammalia; Perissodactyla; Equidae. The record is from RNAcentral.